CUGAAUUAAAAAUUAACCUGAUCUGAGUGGGAGAUCUUAGCACAUCUGGGUUUGCAAUAGCUUGGAGCUGCGCCUGAACCAGUGCUAACAUCUGCCAUCAGUUUGAUCUAAAAGAAGAGAAACCCAUAGUUAACCCCAGCAGUGGACCAAUCCAGCUGUACUGAGGAAUGCUGCUUCAACCCAAUGUGAGACAGGACUGGGAGCCGACAUGGAGAUAAACAUUGCUGUGCCAACCUUGGUGCUGCCAUCUACACACUGGGUAUGAAGCUGCUUUGUACAUUUGCAUCUACCUUCUGUUUCUCACCACCGCUCAAACGUUCCCUCAGAUCCCACAUUUCAGUGAGCUAUGUUUCAGAAACCUAAAGCCACUUGUGUCCUAGUGAUUCUCUGGGAAGAGGAACAAACCAAGGACUGCCUGUCUUCUGUGCAUUCCUGAUCAGGCCUGCAAGAAGGCAGCUAUAACUGAUACAACACAUAAAGGAGAAGUACCUUGGUAAUUGGUAAAGGCUGUGCUUGCAGAACACCAGGUGGGAAGGUUCUCUGACAUUGCAGGUUUUGCUGUGACCAGGAGAUGACUGCUGUGUGCUCAGGUACUGCUUUAAUUCAUGCUGUCUGAACCUGGAGUGAUGCUACUGAUUUAAGGGAGUUUCUGCAGGCCUUCACUUUCUUAACAUAGAACUGCCAUUGCUCUGAAGUUCUAACAAUCAUGAGAAGGCAGCCAAGUUCUUUGCCACAGAGGGAAAUACAAAAUAUCAGCAGUACCAUAUAGGUUACAGCAAUGAGUCACGGUAAACAGAAGAUAUUUUUACACCUCUCUAUAUCAAUACCACUUUAAAACCAGCCAAAAUUUAAACGAUUUUCAGUCAAAUAUAUCUCUGAGAAAGUAAAUGUAAUGUAAUUAUUGAACGUAUUUGCUCUGUCUGCCUGCCUCCUUCCUGAGGCUUUAAUUGGCAUACUCAGCCUAUGCACCCUGCUUGGUAGGGUGAUGGAAACCUCUGCUGGUAAACCUGAGGAAACCUUUUUCUUUGACAGCGCUCAGAGAUACAUAAGCUAUGCUUUUAGAAGAAAUGUGAAAGGAAUAAUCAAGAAUUCCCAUCGCAUCUAGAGGCCUGGAGGGAAACACUGACCACCAAAAUGAAGACAGGGUACCUGUGGAGUAGAAACUGGAAGAGAGAACUUCUUUCUUAAGAAGGGAAUCUUCUUUUCCAGUAGAAAUUCUGGAAUGAAUUUGAACAGUAAUAUUUAAACCAGGAUAACCUUAGUGGGGGAGAAACUUAUUCUGGGUGGAGAUCUAGAUUGAACUAAAAGUUACUGAAUUGGCCAACUUCUCACGUAGGCCUGAUACAUCGAAACUUCUAUGUAAAGGUAUGUUUGUUCUCAAUGUAAUUUGCAGAAGUAUUUGCUGAAGUAUAUGAACAGGAGCAAAGUGCCUAGGCACUCACCCAAAUACUACUGGGUGCUUUGUGGAACACCUACGUUGAUUGGAGCACAGAUAGCUGAGUUUUAUGAACAUUAAUGUUGAAUCUCAGUAUUACAAGAGCAGCUGACAGUAACCACUUAUGAGCACAGUCGUGUUCUUGGUACGCUCAAGUACUUAUGAUUCAUGCCAGUGUCACUGUGGGCACUUCAGCUUUCAACCUGAUUUCAUAUUCCCUUUAUCCACUGCUGGUCAGUGAAAAGUAAAUUGCUCAUGUGAAAUGAUUUAGUCACUUAAUCACCCUUGAACAUUGGUCUCUCUAAAACGUUUGUUUUGUAAUAAAGAAUUAAUAUCAUCUUUGCAGUUAGGAACAGACACCUGCAUUUUGGCCUUGUUUUAGUGUAGCAGAUCUGCUAACACAUUCUGAUCUUUGCUUAGUACCUUUUAAAGAAGGAAAGCCAGCAAAAAAAUCUCUUAUCAUAGUUGUCCUAACAAGCACUUCACUCGCUGUUGAAUAUUUCAAUAAAAAGAGCUUCUCGUACUGGAGUCAAAGGCUAUUUUGAAGAUAUUGCUCUCAUUUUAAGACAUGAAAUCUUGCUUUGCUACAUUUUAUGAUCAAGCAUGGAGGGAGUGGAUUCUGAUCCCUUCUGAUGACUGAAAAGAGGAAAGCGCUUCAUUCCACUUUCUGCAGAUGCGCACUGGAACAGUGAGCUGCAGCACAACUGCAGAACUCUUCUGGGGGUCAGGAUCCUGCCCAGCUCCAGAGUAUGAAGGCAGUGUGCAAGGAAAGAGCUCACAGAGACUGCUGAAGUGUGUGAAGAGGAAAAAAUAACACAAUGAGGAAAAAGUACAAAAAAGCAACCAGUGCCAUGAAUAAUCCUGAAAUAUGAAUAGAUAUAUGUAUUUGGACAAGGUGGGUACUGCUCAGUAUAAAAUCCUCAACAGGAAAGCAGAGCUUAAAGAAGACCUAGGGGCAACGAUAGCUGAUGAGCAGCUUCCCACAGGAGUGAUGUGAUGGCUUGGAUGAUGUGGAGCAGAGCAAGCCAGGACAGCUCAUGGGCUGUGGAAAACUGAACUGAGUGAUGUGGAAUGACACUGGAUGGCGCUGCAGGAUGCCUAAAGGAUGUUGUGGAAGUCAGGCUGGGACUGCGAAUCUGCUGGCCUUUUUCCACUGGACACAACAGUAGCCAAGGUUUAAAUCAACAUCCCUGAAUGAUCUCUCCCGCCAUUAGAAAGCUUUUUGCUGAGCUCAACUCUCAGCUAUGAAGGGGUGGCAGGAGGGAAUCCAGAAGGGCUGCACAUCCCAGGAGUCCAGGCUUCACUCCAGUUGGGUGGAAGAGCCCCGUGCCCCAGGACUGCACUGGCAGUGAGGAGCAUUAAACUUCUGCCUAGAGGAUGCUAGACCCCUUGGCAUGACACACAGCCAUGGCCUCAGCCCUUACCCAAGGUCACAAGGUGGGCCGGUUCCCUAUGGUGGGCUCUGCACUCACAGCUCUGCAGCCCAGUGUACCAACAGCGCUCAGCUCCCAUGGCGGUGAGAGGCGUUAGCUAAUUAAACCUUCCCUCAUCUGUGGGAGAGAGAGAAAACCACAAUGGAGAAGUGAGCAAAGGGUGCUGUGUUCCUCUAAAAGCAGCCAAGGGCCCUCUCGGAUGGUUUCAGGCUUUGAAGGUACAGACUGAGCAAAGAGCUGAAGAGAAGAUUUUGUUCUUAUUUUACGUUAAGAACUUCUGCUUAAGUGUGCCCAUCAGUGCUCUCCUGAAGCUGCCAGACUUCAGAGCAAAUCACGGAACAUCCUGAGUUGGAAGGGACCCACAAGGAGCACUGAGUCCAGCUCCUGCUGCAGCCCUUUUUGAACGAUUAAAGGAACCCUUAUUUGGCCCCCAUACCCAUUCAUUACCCUUUUCAUUCUUUCUAACCCCGAGCACCUCAAGAUACAAAGACUUUGCUGCCUUCAGAUCUGUGCUUUCCCAGCUUCCCCAGUCAGCUUAGCAAACUGGUUAGCACAAGAUGUUACUCCUGGAUUUGUCCAUGUUUUCCUCACUGCUGAUUGCCUAGCAAAGCAGCCACCAGCACCAAGAGGGGCCGGCAAUACACUGUGCUGGGGUUGCUGACAUGGGAGGCUGAGUGCAGCAGGGCUAUCCUGGGCUGCUGCACGUCAGCCAGGGGAGAAGGAUUCUGAGAGAUUGUCUCUGAAAUUUUCCUCGUGGUGCACUGACUAAGAGGAGGAGUGUUGGCCUGCAGCAAGGUACAGCAGCAAUGGAAGGCUGCCAGAGUCAAAUAGAGGGAGUGCAGAUGCAACUGGAGCUUGUAAAGUGGCAAAUUGUAACGGCCUACAAUACAUCUAUACUGUUUUAUCUGCGCUGGUAUGGCUGUGCUGCUAAGGUUGUUACACAUCUCAGAAUCAGUUUUUGUUCUGAAAGCUGUGAAGUCUCUGAUUAAAAGUGAAUUAAUAUUGAGUGUGGCUGAAUACUGACAUUUGUGCUUUUAGAGGUGGUACAUCUUUGAGAACACUGUUAUAAAAGAUAAAGCAGUUUGUGUUAAGUGAGGAACUAAUGUUAAAAAACACAAUUCCCCUUCCUUCACACACCAAAUUCUUGUUUUGUUUGCUAGCAAUCAUAUCCAUUGUAGUUCUUAAAUGCCCCAAUCAGUGGAGGAGUGGAGUUCCUGAUGACUGGUUAGGCACUUCUCUCAUGAUAGUUGGCAUUCAUUAUCAAAAUGAUAAUGGCUGUGGAGGACUGUCAUGUUUGGGUUUCUCUUUAACACAUCCGAAAUGCCUUCUGUGUACAAAGAGCCUUUACAUGUGUGCUUCUUUGGAGACCUGAGAUAUGCAAAGGAUGUAGUAGCAGUUUGUUCCAGGUCAUUUGGAUUUCUGCUUUCUGUGACUUAUGUUUGUUGACUUCAAAUGCCUGCCCCACAGAAAAGCUGCAUCAUAAAGCUGUUGAAGUCAGGCAGCUCCUUCUUUUACCCGACCCUCCAAUCACAUGGAGGAAUGCAGAGUGCUGCAAAAGCAAGAUGCUGAAAAUGAAUUGCUCUGUGCUCACUGGUGUGCCCAAGGACAGUGCAGAUGUGGUUGCCAGUGCCCAAGUGCUUAUUGUUCUGGAUGUUCAUUAGUAUGGUCUCAAAUUGGCUUUGAAAUGUUGUAAAAUAAUUCCUUUGUGUUCUUAUCAUAGAAUCACAAAAUGGCCUGGGUUGAAAAGAAUCACAAUGACCAUCUAAUUUCAACCCCCCUGCUAUGUGCAGGGUCGCCAGCCACCAGACCAGGCUGCCCAGAGCCACAUCCAGACUGGAUGUUCUUCUUUCUGAUGUUUCUCUUGUUGUGUCUUAUCAAGUGCAGGUAAUGGAUCAAAGCUCUGCUGGCUGCAGUGUCUGAAGAUCCCAUUUAACCUUUACACUCUUGAAGCCAUUUCAUAGAGAUUAAAAAUGCACCGGAAUAAAAGGGAGCUCUUCAUCUCCUGGCCAUUUUUCUCACAUUUGCCAUGCCAUAAACUGGCAUCGUGCCCUAUGAAUAUCGCCCGCCUGGGGACCAUUGGCACCAUACAUUUCUGGGAGGACAAAGUGCCACGAGGAGUCUGGAGAAAUGAACUCAGCAAGGGAAGAUGUUUGUAAGGCUGCGUGGUGUUUCCAUGUUUAUUUAACUUCUGCAGAACAUGCAAUCAAUCUGCCACUCCUCACUGUUGGGAAGAAGCCCCGUGCCUGUGUGAUGCAGAAGUGUGAGCCUCGCUGCUGCUCCGCAAUAGUCCCACGUUAAUUUUGAGGGCUGACGUGCAGAGGAACGUGCUGCUGUGACCACGUGGUCUGCUCCAUCUGAAGAUAUGAUGAAUACUCUUAAAGCCUGAGCAUUUUAGGGAAAAGAAAACAAACCACGGAUUUCUUUCUUUUCUGACGCAUUUCUUUGUAUGAUGACCACACAGCUGAGUGUAUAUCUUAAUGAACCAUCCUUCUCCAAAAUGUGGUAGUGGGAAUGAAGAACUGCUGAUCUACAGUACCCAAGUGAAUCAACUGCAAUGGAAGUGAUGGAGAAAGAAUCCAUUAGCAGCAAACUUUGUGUCUGCCACUGCAGGAGAUGGUGCUGGAGCUUUGCUGGACCCCUGCUGCUCUGUAGGGAUCGCAAUAUGGGUUUUCUUGGGAUGGAGAGGCAUGGUCUGAGGACAGGUGGAGGCCAUGAGUCAGUGAGUGCUGUGACACUUUGCAGCCACAGAACUGCAGUGCAAUGGAGCUGCCUUCACCCAGAGUGUCUGGUUGCUGAAGAAAAGCUGUUUUCUGGGGAGCUUUGCCAUCACCAGAUCUGCUGGGUGCUUCUACAUGGCUGGUUGACAAACACUGCUGGGAUCCAGAGAGGCUUUCCACUUUCUUCGGAUGGAUGUGGUACAGGGAAGCCGAUUUUUCUCUUCUCUUUGUUGGUGCACAGCAAUGUUGGAAGGCAGGAGGAGACCCUGACACUGUGUGCUGCAGGAAAGUGCAUCCUUUCUGGCAUCCAAGUGAAAAUGUCAGCUUUUGAAUGCAGCAUUCUAACUACAAGACCGAUCGGAUAAUGCAGAAAAGAAAGCACAGGAGACAAAUGGUUUAUGACACUCCGGUUACCUUUACUGUGCAAGGUUUAUCAUAUGCUCGGCUCAUCCAUCUGUGUCUCAGUCUCCGGUGGACUCAUGAGUUUCAUCAAGAAAACCAUUUUCAAACCAGCAGACCAAAACAGAUCGUUUUCGACUCCCAGCCUCAUCGAGGCUUUGCAGUAGUUUUGCCUCGUGUUUACGAUUUAUGGAUGCAACAGAAACACAGAGCAGACAGGAGUGGUCCAGAGAUCUCGCCAUUGCAGGGUACGUGCUUUCAAACACUGCUCAUUCAGGUAUCGGCUCUGCAAUACUUGAAUAACUUUAUUCGGGUUAAUUCCAUUCAAUCCUUCAGGGUGAGAUGUUAAACAUGGGAUGUAACUGCAUUUAAAUUCCAGCUUCUAUCCUGUGAUGAGUGGUAGAAUUGGUUCAGGGAAUUAGGGGAGAAAAGAUGAGCUGGCGGUUAAAGCUCUACAUUGGUGCUGAAAGCAUUGGGGGCCCCUUUGUUCUCCUGCUGCAGACUGUGACCUUCAGUGAAUCGCUGGGUCAGCGGUAGUCGCCUUUAUUUCCUUAUCUGUUUGUACCAAAGCUGUUAAUAUUUGUCUAUUGCCCUUCACAAUAUUAUGCCAACGUACAUCUUACUGAAGACCUUUAAGAAUUAAUCUUAUUUGCUUAUAUGGUAAUUAGUUAUGUAGUCUUGCCAGAUUUGGUAAAAACAACAACAACAACAAAACUAAAAUCAAAACCAAAAACCAAGCAAGAAAUAGAUUUUCAGACUGCAGGGUAAUUAUUUCUAUGCUAUGAAUUCUCAAGUCCCUCUUCUUUUCGAUCUCUCCAUCCAGCCGCUUCUUCACAAGAGAUCGCGCUGGGGAGGGAAUCAAUACAGCCAGAGCCCUGGGACUAAUCCGGGGAGAUGUCACGCAGCCCUGACGUGAUGUCUCUGUCUUUUCUCCCUGAAAAACAUGGGGGGAGGGAGGGGGGUGAUGCUAAACCUAUCACAUCCUGAUAACUCUAAUAAGUGUAAUAGAAAAUGAGGCAAAACAGAACAAUCCCCAGCCUGACAUGGGCCUUACUGGUGCAGGCAGACAAGCAGCUGUUGAUUUUGUUAUAAAAGUUAUUUAUUUCCAGCUCUCCUCUUCCGUGCCAUUCUCUGUUUUGAUUAUAUGAAGAUGAAUGUUUCUUGAAGGAAACAGUCCUUAAUUUUUGAGAUGGAAGUAAAUAUCUUAUUGCUUUAAUGUUAAGUGUUGACAUAAUGAUAUCCAACCCUAUGAGGCUUAAGGGGGGAAAAUGCUUCCUUUACCUUUCAUUCCCUUUACCUUUCAUUCCCUUGCCACUCAACAGUGCUGAAGAAAGUGAAGUGCUGAAGAAAGAUAUAGGCCUUGUGGUCUUUCCUGACAGUCAAUAAAUUGGAGUUUUGUCAGGCCAAAGAGAUGCCAUAAAGAGGGCAGAUUAAAAGAGAUUAGUUCUGCCAAGUAGCCUGAGAAGAGAAUUUAGUGCUGCUGUGGCCACAGGCAGAGCCAGCACCAUGUGGUCAAGGGCAGGGAGAGCCAUGUGCUACUCCUGUGGGGCUCCUGCACUGCUGCAAUAGCACUGUCUGGGCUGGAGGGGAGGCGAAGGGGAGGGUGAGAGGCACUUGGGCUCAGUUUUCCAUCUCUGCUACAUUUUGCAAGAAGCACACCUCUGAUUUCUGCAUUCCCUUUGCUCUGGUUGGUGGUUGCUAUUGCUGUUGAAGUUGUAUAAUUGAACACAGAGGCAAAACAGUCACUUAAAAUGUUUUUAGUAUCCACUCAAUGCAGUGGGGCUAUUGCACAGUGAUGCAUGUGCCAGCGUUCACAUUGGUGGAACUUCAAAACAAAAGGCAAAAUUUGCACAGGGAACGGUCCUCAGAGUGCCUGUGGGGUGCCCCCAAGACCAAGGCAUGGGGCGUGAAGGCAGGGAGAGGAGGUGGAGAGCUGGUCAGAAGCAUUGGACUAAACUGACUUUAGUCCAAGGCAUCCAGAGCUGCAGAAGACUGUUGUGGUACCACUGAAUAUUUGGAUACCUUAGAAAAAACAAAUACAAAAUUCAAAUUUACCUUCUGACAGGUCUGAAAACGUAGCAAGUACAGGCAUCAUCCCAGGGCUUGUGUUGGCUGACAGAGAGUUGUUAAUUCUGGUGUUCAUGGCUCAAAGCAUCCCCUGCCUUCAAACAGCAGCAUGGCUGAGUGCACCAUGAGAAUACACAGGUAGCACUGUCAGAGAAGGUGUGGCUGGAAACAGGAAUAAAGCAGGGGUGUGUGUUUUGGAAAGGGAGAGCUUUUACCAAAGAAGCUGGAGAGGGACAGAGGGGUUUUGCUGACACAACCAUGACCGUGUGCUUCAGCUCCUGAAGAGCAGAGUAGUGUUAGUCCUUUUCUUCAGACCAGAAGGCAAAGAGCCAGGAUAGAGCUAUUUCAUGGCACACAGGAAGACAGAAUGUGUCUUUAUUGCCCGUGCUGUCUCACAGAAGGACAGCAAGACACCAGAAUUUGAUGGUCAAGAAUGCCUUCUAUUAAACACGAAAAAGAUCAGUGUGUCUGAGUGUAUAAAAAGUAGAGUUAAAUGUACCUGUUUAAUAAUCUAGCCUUGGUUUGUCACAGGUUAAAUUACUUGGGAUGUGUUUUUCCUUGGUUUUAACAGCAAUUUCUAGUUUCCAGUAUAGAUGCAGACGUUCUGUAAGUCUGUACAAUUUGUCAGUGCAAAUACGACGUUCCUGUUGCCACCAAAUGUUUCCUCUUAAACCCUAGAAAAUCCCUUUUUAUGUUAUUUAACAAAAGGAGAUAAGGUGAGGACAAGGAGUUUAAAUGCUUGGAGUUAAUAAAAUAGAUAUAAAUGUCAGAAUCUAAAUAGAAAUGUCAGUAUCUAACCCAUCAUUUUAAAAAUCCGCUGUAUAUUUCUAGAAUUACUUUGAAAUAUUUUAAGAUAGAAGAUAUAAAAGGAAGAAUAUUGCAUCCAUGAAGAUGAUUCAAUAACACACCUUUCCUUGUGAUUUUAUUUGCCCGUGGAGGAACUAUUCUACAGAGAAUAGCUCAUCCAAAAGCUUAUUUUUUCUACUUGAUAAAAAGGACAUUGGUUUACUUCCAGAGAUUGAAUGUUCUGGCCCCAUUUGUUUCACUUGAGAGAAUUAAAUGCAAAAUAAGUAGGGAGAAAAGCUCGGUAAUAGUAAGAUACAUGACAUAUUUGUUUUAUGUAUAUCUUGCCUGCUUACCAAAGCCUUCAAAUGGUCCACUCAAAUUUAUCUUAAUGUUAAAGUCGAUGCUUUUUCAUUCAUAAAUGAUUAUAUGCGCAAAACCGCUGACACAAAACAAAAUACAGAAGGUUAAUUCCUCCCUGUGAAAGCCUGUCUGGAAAUGUGAAUCCUGUAAUUUACUUUGCGAAAUAGUAAUGCAGGGGUUGUAUUUCAUUUGUGAAGCGUGCUGCGCAUGGGGACUGCUAUGCAAGAGUAGUAUUCCCAAGCACCACCACCAUAAAGUGAUAACAGACAUCUUUCCAGUAAGUAAUUGAAUGCCACAUGCCCAUUGGUGAUGGAGCUGAGAAUGCAAACGUGAAACCAUAGGAACUGUUUGCAAAGGUUUGUGAGGUUGCCUUGCUCUACUUCAAAGCCUUGGUCUUUGAGCAGUCAUCCCAUCCUCGAGCGAUCAAGUGAAUCUCUUGAAGUAAUUAAUUACUGGUUAAUUGCCAGGCAGGUUACUGUCCUGUAUAAUAAAAUUCCUGGAGAUUUUGCUUGCUGUAAUAAGGUCCUGGAUUUUUGUCGGUGUUUGUGUUAAGUCUGAACAACCUAAGGUAGGUCCACAGCUUACAUUGGUGCACCGAUCUCAAAGAAGUGCUCAUAAAUCUUUAAAAAUCAUCAUCUGGCACUGCUUCAGUGAAUGAAGGGAAUGAAAUGAAAAUCCUGAAAUUAGUUUUUUGGGAAGCUUAAUUAUAAUAACUGCUAAUACAAAGUGCUAGGAGAUAAGACCUGUACGUAACAAAAACAAUUAGAAGGCUGCAAGACAAACUCUUCUUUUGAAGCAGUCACCUCUGAGAAAUGAGUCUUUCCCAUCAAAUAUCCAAUAGAAUUUUAAAUCGUUUUGCUGUGAAAGGCACUGUGUAGAUUUCAGCUGGGCAAAGCAUUUCAGUGUGAUCCUAAGUUCUUUGUCAGCUUCGGCGUGUCACAUGUGAGUUGCAAAAAUACAUAUCAGCCAGAAAAUGAAUUGUGGGAUUGACUGUGGCUCCAGCAGUAGGAUUGCUUUUCAUGAGUGAGUGAGCAGGGGCAACGUCUGAGAUGUCAACAGCUGCAACACCGAGGGCAUCCACUCCAAAUGGGCACACAGGUUGUGGCUUUCCUCAUUCGCAUCCACUCCAAAUGGGCACACUGAUUGUGGCUUUCCUUAAUCCGUUUUCACUAACCACAUCCUGCCCAAGGAUGUGUAAGCACAGGUGCUAGCCAUUGCUCAGAGGCUGCUUGUAUUACCACUUACCUUGUAAAUUCCCAUAACAUCCCCAAAGUAAGUUGUGAGACAGUAGUCAGUAUUAAAUAGUUCAUAUAAUGCUGUAGGAAUUCUGACAUCUGACUGUGGCAGAGUAUGGCUAUAACAGCACAAUUUGUUGAAGCUGGCUGCUGUGUACUGAUCUCACUGUCUGCAAUACUUCAACUUGCUGGUCACUGGAUUUCCUGUUUGACUGCGCCAACACUGCAAAUAUGAUACUAAUGAUUUUGGCUUUGUUAGUUGUUCUGUACAAUCUCCGAAAACUUGCUUUAUGUGACAAAACUUGGUUGUGUGGCAGAAAAAAAAAAAAGAAAAGAAAAGAAAAAAAAAAAACAGUUUGCCAAACUUCUCCUGAAUGCAGGUACUGCAUCCUGUCUUUGGGAUCAAGGUCAUCAUGUGCCAUGCUGAAUGCCAUGCAUGAGCCUGGCUCCAGCUCUGCUGACAAAGCGUGAUUCCUCCAGUGAUGGAGCAUUGGGCAGAUGGAGGCCCUGGGGUCUGCCUGGAGGAGAGCUAGAGCUCAGAGUGCAGAAAUAUUAACGCCAAGUCUGGUUAUUUUUCAAAUCUGAGCUCAGCUUGUAGAUACACUUGGAUAUUUUAAAAGCUUAAAUUAGCAUUCAAAGACCUGCUGGCAAUUUUGGGUCCAGAUUUUGGUCUUACUGCCUUUGUGAAAAGUAAGAAUGUUUAAGUAGAAAUUGGCACUGCAAACAGGACAGAUUUUAGCUUGUUUAAGCUGAAUUUCUAGAAUUGCUUUGCUCUUCUUCAGGUUGUGUGAGCUUCCAAGUUGGAGUUUUGUCUGGGGGAGUAAUGCAUCCUCUGGGCACUGCAGGUUGAAGAAUAUCACCAGCUCAGCUCUGGGCAAUUUCCAUGGUGAAGUCACGAAUCUGCUCUGAUUGAAGUCCAGUUCUGCAUCACUUCCCUCAGUCUGGGGCUUUAUCGCAGGUACCCUCAUCUGUGGCAGUUUGGAUAGAGCCAGGGUGCUUUGUGUGCAUUACACCAGCCUUUCCAGCAAUUACUGGCCACACAUUAGCAUCUUUUUGCUGGGCUGAUGAAGGACGGCUUGUGGCACUGGCAGCCAGAUGGACUUGCUGCAGUCUCUAUGCUGAAAUUCUGCUGUGUUUCUUUUCUUUUCUGUUACAUUUAUUUACUACUUCUCUAUUCUGUAUUUGAUCUUGGAAACAAGGUAAACCUUCACUAGCAAAACCAAAUGGCUCAAGCAGAAAAGAAAUGUUGGAAUUUUGUAACACAUCACAUAAAAAAAAUUGCAAGUUGAAGUUUUUGCACUCUCCUUUGCAUCUUUCCUUUUCAGAUUUUACUGCAAGUGUAAAAGUGGAGCAGAGACCUGUGGGCUUUGCAUUCCGAGGCCUGGCUUUGGAACAGAUAAGUGCAUGCUUGGUUGGCUUCAGGAAACCAACAGAAUGACUUGUAGGCAUCUGCAAAGUUUUUGAGUGACUUCCACAAAUGUUUAUGCUUAUUAAGGACUGGAAGUUAUUCUCUGCACUGUAAUCACUUAUGAAUACACUUAAAUUAACACUUGCGGCUCUCUGUAGUAAUAUUGGCUGCGUAGGACACUAUUUGCAGAUUCAGGGCACAAGUUUCUGGGGUAAAUUUUUAUUUUGAUGUUCCUUUCACGCUCUUAAGCUUUCAGAAGAUUACAGAAAUCUGGCCAGACCACAGCUAAAAUGAGCAAAGCGUAGAGCCAUUCCGUUUGAUGUUCGUGACAAAAAGACUGGGAAGAGCAAAAAUAUGAAAAAUCAAUACUUCGAAAUCUCUGUCUUUCACAAAAGAUUUAAGAACAACCUCCUCCCUGCAUCUUCGUUUGAGCUUUUGCUGAAAGAUGUAGUUUUCAGAGAAGCUAUUUCCAAGAGGAGGGUGCGGAAGGAGCUGGAAGAACAAUGAGCAAUUUACACAGUUGUUCUGCACAGCGUUGUGUGGCUCCAAAGGCCAGGGGGAAGGCAGCAGAAAGACAGGCAUUCCUUUCUCCCUGCAAAGGCUACUGACUCCCAUUGCAUGAAACAUAGCCAGCUUUUAUUUAAAUUGAUAUAUUUGUUUGAUCUUUAGGAUUGUGGACUUCACUCUGACAGCCCAUGAGAUGUGGUAACCAGAGCUCUGCUUCUAAUUUCUGUAACAUUUAAUUAAAAGGAAUGAAGAGAGGAUUUUCUUGCCCUCUGAAGUCACUGUGUCUUGCACUCAUCUCUCUCUCUUUUUUUUUUUUUUUUUUUAUUUUUCAGUGACCAGUAACCUUGCAAGAAAAAUCAGCAAGCAGACAUUCCAUUACAAUAGGAACAAAUGGUAAACGAUAGCAUUAAAGGUAACUUUCCAUUACUUUUGGUGAUGUGAACCAGAACUACUUUUAAAUAAUGACUGGCACCAGCAAAUAAAAACAGAAAUAUGUAUCAAAGAAUGAACUGUAAUUGCUCUGAUUUCGCUGAGCACUGAGACCUCCUAUAGGAGAGAAAUGUGAUUUUGAACAUGGAAAUAAAAACAGGAGUUCAUUUCAGGGAAGUCCCGGUGCUUUUGCAGAAGUUUUCUCCCUAGCUUCCUGCAAAACUGGGUUACUACACUUGCUUAUUGUCAGGGCGUAAUUACUUCAAAUGGAAUUAGAGAUUAAAAGUGCACAUCCAACACUGCACCCUUCACCUUCCCCUGUCCCUUCCAUGCAACUAUGGGGCUGGGAGCAUUUCCUCCAUGAAAACUUGGUGGAAAUAUCUUGAAUGUGCCAAUGUCUGGGAAGGGAACAUCAUAUUUUCAGCAUUUCUUCUGAGCUUCUGAGCUACUCCAUGCCACCAAGGAUGGAGCCAACCACUGACACUGCUGCCAAAACAAUGAAUUCUUUCAUCAGCUCCUAAGUGCCAUCUGUGCUCACGUGUCAUACGGCCUCAGCACUCCAUGUUCAGCCCUAACGUGCUUGGCUAUUUGCAGUGCAUCAGACUCAAUAGGCUGGGAAUGAGUCAUGUUUACUUGCGUUUUGUUUUUGCUGUGUAGAAUUCUCUUUCACUAGAAGAACUUCAGCUCUGAGACAAACAGCUGUUGCUGACACACUUUAAUUAAAAUGGAAGGCUGGCUUGAAGAUUUCUUUCAUUUUAAUACGCAACAAUAACAAGAUGGAAGUGAAAAAGCACAGAUAAGUUGGGAGGAGAAGGGAGAAAUAAAUGCUGUCUGUACUACUAAAAAAUUGCCUCUACGUUAAUUCUUGGAGACAAAUUCAAUUUCACUGGCUUCAGAAUCCAGGCAGGUUACUUUGGAAAAUGUCCUACCUGAGAAAUUCUUUGAAAGUGCAGAUCCAUGGGAAGUGCUCUUGUAAUUACUGUUAUGUUGUCGCCUCUACACUGGAGCAUGGGACUGUGUUCACAUCAUCAUUCAUCAUGCUGCGAGUUCAAUAGUGUCUCCAUGUUAAUUAAAGACUAUUUUUAGUUACCUCAAGGUUGUUUUAUUUUUUCUUCCACUGAUGUCUAUAAUAAACGAGAUGUGAAUCAAAAUAAAGCCAUUCCCAUAUUUUAA
Molecule: long non-coding RNA, 13949 nt
Organism: Gallus gallus (chicken)
Lineage: Eukaryota; Metazoa; Chordata; Aves; Galliformes; Phasianidae
Exons: 17
Source: RefSeq, a predicted model, not a curated record